CGCGUUAGGUGCCUGCACCUGAUUUGUAAUCAGGGGGUCACGAGUUCGAACCUUGUCGGGGGCACCA
Molecule: transfer RNA, 67 nt
Filed under: Agrobacterium tumefaciens
Lineage: Bacteria; Pseudomonadati; Pseudomonadota; Alphaproteobacteria; Hyphomicrobiales; Rhizobiaceae
Description: tRNA-Thr
Source: RNAcentral